This is a small nucleolar RNA of Malania oleifera, 106 nucleotides long. The record is from RefSeq and is a predicted model, not a curated record. NCBI's taxonomy places the organism in Eukaryota, Viridiplantae, Streptophyta, Magnoliopsida, Santalales, Ximeniaceae.
ACCUAAUGAUGUGGGCAUUUUUGUAAAAGAUCUCUGAAAUGCUCUUAGGUCUCGAAAAAUCGUUCUCCAUCCAACUGUGAGAAGCUGGUGAUAUCUCUCUGCAGCU